UAAAUCUGGAAGCUUCCACAGGCCUUGCUCUAAUGCUCCUGUUCCCAAGGCUCGCGCCAGUGGCAGGGACCCGGAUGUUUCGGGAGCAGGUGGGAUACAGGACGACUCUGGUAAACGGAAGAGCUCGAGGAGGGGUUUCUCAAAGGUGCAGAGCCGAGCCAGCCUAGAGCCUCCCCAGCAUGGACCGCUGUCCUCUCUAUGUUUCCUUCCUCUCCUUUCAGCUCCCUGCCAGUGUGACACAUCUGGCUGUGACUGAUGCAGACCCCCAAUGUACGGCGGGCCCUGUCUAGAUAUCAGAUGCCUUUCCUUUUCAGUGCACUGACUUCUGAUUUUAAGCAACUGGGCAUCCAAGAUGUUUGGCUCACACGGAGACCCCGAUUGGCUCUGCCACUCCUGGUAUCUUCCCUGGCCAGAGGAAGCCACAAUGGACACACUCUGGGAAUUAAGAGAUUCGUUGUAGGCAGAACAGGACUUCUCCCCAGAGGACAGCAGCCUUGUCCCCCCGACCCCGUGGAGCUGGAGGGAAGA
Molecule: long non-coding RNA, 528 nt
Organism: Fukomys damarensis (Damara mole-rat)
Lineage: Eukaryota; Metazoa; Chordata; Mammalia; Rodentia; Bathyergidae
Exons: 3
Source: RefSeq, a predicted model, not a curated record